Molecule: ribosomal RNA, 1341 nt
Filed under: uncultured bacterium
Lineage: Bacteria
Description: partial 16S ribosomal RNA
Rfam family: Bacterial small subunit ribosomal RNA
Source: RNAcentral
GACGAACGCUGGCGGCGUGCUUAACACAUGCAAGUCGAACGGUAAGGCUCCAGCUUGCUGGGGUACACGAGUGGCGAACGGGUGAGUAACACGUGGGUGACCUGCCCUGCACUUCGGGAUAAGCCUGGGAAACUGGGUCUAAUACCGGAUAGGACCGCACCGUGAGGGUGUGGUGGAAAGUUUUUUCGGUGUGGGAUGGGCCCGCGGCCUAUCAGCUUGUUGGUGGGGUAAUGGCCUACCAAGGCGGCGACGGGUAGCCGGCCUGAGAGGGUGGACGGCCACAUUGGGACUGAGACACGGUCCAGACUCCUACGGGAGGCAGCAGUGGGGAAUAUUGCACAAUGGGCGGAAGCCUGAUGCAGCGACGCCGCGUGGGGGAUGACGGCCUUCGGGUUGUAAACUCCUUUCACCAUCGACGAAGGGUUUCUGACGGUAGAUGGAGAAGAAGCACCGGCUAACUACGUGCCAGCAGCCGCGGUAAUACGUAGGGUGCGAGCGUUGUCCGGAAUUACUGGGCGUAAAGAGCUCGUAGGUGGUUUGUCGCGUCGUCUGUGAAAUUCCGGGGCUUAACUCCGGGCGUGCAGGCGAUACGGGCAUAACUUGAGUACUGUAGGGGAGACUGGAAUUCCUGGUGUAGCGGUGAAAUGCGCAGAUAUCAGGAGGAACACCGGUGGCGAAGGCGGGUCUCUGGGCAGUAACUGACGCUGAGGAGCGAAAGCAUGGGGAGCGAACAGGAUUAGAUACCCUGGUAGUCCAUGCCGUAAACGGUGGGCGCUAGGUGUGGGUUUCCUUCCACGGGAUCCGUGCCGUAGCUAACGCAUUAAGCGCCCCGCCUGGGGAGUACGGCCGCAAGGCUAAAACUCAAAGGAAUUGACGGGGGCCCGCGCAAGCGGCGGAGCAUGUGGAUUAAUUCGAUGCAACGCGAAGAACCUUACCUGGGCUUGACAUAUACAGGAUCGCGCCAGAGAUGGUGUUUCCCUUGUGGCUUGUAUACAGGUGGUGCAUGGUUGUCGUCAGCUCGUGUCGUGAGAUGUUGGGUUAAGUCCCGCAACGAGCGCAACCCUUGUCUUAUGUUGCCAGCACGUUGUGGUGGGGACUCGUAAGAAACUGCCGGGGUUAACUCGGAGGAAGGUGGGGAUGACGUCAAAUCAUCAUGCCCCUUAUGCCCAGGGCUUCACACAUGCUACAAUGGUCGGUACAGUGGGUUGCCAGUCCGUGAGGGCGAGCUAAUCCCGCAAAGCCGGUCUCAGUUCGGAUCGGGGUCUGCAACUCGACCCCGUGAAGUCGGAGUCGCUAGUAAUCGCAGAUCAGCAACGCUGCGGUGAAUACGUUCCCGGGCCU